GUGGGGAAUAUUGGACAAUGGGCGAAAGCCUGAUCCAGCCAUGCCGCGUGUGUGAAGAAGGUCUUCGGAUUGUAAAGCACUUUAAGUUGGGAGGAAGGGCAUUAACCUAAUACGUUAGUGUUUUGACGUUACCGACAGAAUAAGCACCGGCUAACUUCGUGCCAGCAGCCGCGGUAAUACGAAGGGUGCAAGCGUUAAUCGGAAUUACUGGGCGUAAAGCGCGCGUAGGUGGUUCGUUAAGUUGGAUGUGAAAGCCCCGGGCUCAACCUGGGAACUGCAUCCAAAACUGGCGAGCUAGAGUACGGUAGAGGGUGGUGGAAUUUACUGUGUAGCGGUGAAAUGCGUAGAUAUAGGAAGGAACACCAGUGGCGAAGGCGACCACCUGGACUGAUACUGACACUGAGGUGCGAAAGCGUGGGGAGCAAACAGGAUUAGAAACCCUAGUAGUCC
RNAcentral lists this ribosomal RNA (450 nucleotides) under uncultured bacterium. Its description in RNAcentral is "partial 16S ribosomal RNA". It matches the Rfam family "Bacterial small subunit ribosomal RNA", at positions 354 to 796 of the family's 1533-position model. The record is from RNAcentral.